RNAcentral lists this ribosomal RNA (490 nucleotides) under uncultured bacterium. RNAcentral's name for it is "partial 16S ribosomal RNA". It matches the Rfam family "Bacterial small subunit ribosomal RNA", at positions 30 to 507 of the family's 1533-position model. The record is from RNAcentral.
AUUGAACGCUGGCGGCAGGCUUAACACAUGCAAGUCGAGCGGUAGCACAGGGGAGCUUGCUCCCUGGGUGACGAGCGGCGGACGGGUGAGUAAUGUCUGGGAAACUGCCUGAUGGAGGGGGAUAACUACUGGAAACGGUAGCUAAUACCGCAUAACGUCGCAAGGCCAAAGAGGGGGACCUUCGGGCCUCUUGCCAUCAGAUGUGCCCAGAUGGGAUUAGCUAGUAGGUGGGGUAAUGGCUCACCUAGGCGACGAUCCCUAGCUGGUCUGAGAGGAUGACCAGCCACACUGGAACUGAGACACGGUCCAGACUCCUACGGGAGGCAGCAGUGGGGAAUAUUGCACAAUGGGCGCAAGCCUGAUGCAGCCAUGCCGCGUGUGUGAAGAAGGCCUUCGGGUUGUAAAGCACUUUCAGCGAGGAGGAAGGUGGUGAGCUUAAUACGUUCAUCAAUUGACGUUACUCGCAGAAGAAGCACCGGCUAACUCCGUG